UGUGCACAUAUAGUUUUGCUCCUAAUAUUGUCCAUUGGGACAUUUAGACCCCGAGUGACUUAUUGGAAGUCAUUCAUAAAGAAUUACCACAUUAAGAUCUUAUUUAGAGUGAAUAAAACAUUAUAAUACAUGGAAGGAAAUGUUUACUAAGUGAAGACAUAACCGCCAUGAUUCAUGUGUUUUAUCUUUCUAAUUAAGAAUAAAUUUUGAGCAGUUUGUAAUUGGUGGCCAUAUAUAUUCGGUUUUUGAAUUUCUCAACCCAUACAGUCUUUUAGAUGUGCCAUGUGAGCCAAGUGGGAGAAUAUAAGCAUACGUCUCCAUGUAGGAGGCUUAACGUGGCCCACAUGCCACAUCUAGUUUUUAAAUUAUUAUAAUUAUGUAAUAGUAUUAUUUUAUUCAAAAAUCAUAUCUGGGAGUUGAGAUUUUAACGUAACUGCUUGUAACCACUCAAUUAGAUCAUGUUAACGUUGAGGGCUAGUUAACGUUGAGUGGGUAUCUCCACUUCCUUGAUGGAAGGAAAGUGGGUGAGAUAUUCAGGUGGAUAUGGGUCUUGGCCUGUCUAUAAAAUUGCCUGUGAUUAUCCACCAGGUCACAUACUUAUGGAAAAUAGACUAGGCUGAAAACUCUAUCCUUUACUCUCCAUACAGACAGUGAGGGUUGUGAGGUUUGCUGGGAUUUUAUCCAACUAAUCUCUUGGUUCUCUAAUCAGCUUAAACAACUAUGGCUGGAGGUCAGUCCGUAUUAUAUAUGAUUGUCUUUUCUUCCGCUUAUAGUGUUAUUAUUUCUCCCAAGUUUCUUUCAUUGGAUCCUUAGCCUGAUGAGGACGCUGGAGCUUAAAUGAAGAAAGUAUGUGAGAAUCCUUGCGGGUGUGUGUUUAAUUCUACAUC
Molecule: long non-coding RNA, 887 nt
Filed under: Phoenix dactylifera (date palm)
Lineage: Eukaryota; Viridiplantae; Streptophyta; Magnoliopsida; Arecales; Arecaceae
Description: long non-coding RNA (PDAC_LNC003870)
Source: RNAcentral